CUUCCGGGGGGGAGGGGCGGCGAGGCGAGGCCUGCGGAGCGGAGGAAGACAAACAUAAAGAUGAAGUGCUUAAUUCAAGGUCACACAAUGUCGGGGAUGGACCUCCAGAUUUCCUUACUGGAAAACAAGCUCAGGGCUCCCACUGAUUGUACAUUAUGGUGAGACGUGGUCUUGUAACACAGUGGUUAAGAAUGUGACUUUGGAGCCAGCCUGCUAGGGGCUGAAUUCUGACUCAGCCAUUUACUAACUGUGUGACCUUAGGUCACAGAAUUUUCCACACUCCUUGACAGAGGUGCUUAACCCUUAUCCAUCAGCAUUCUCAGACAGCACCUCCGGUUAGGGACAGUAUCUGACCGUCCGACAUCCCUGCAGCCCCCAUGUGUCACACAGACUCAGCCUCAGGUAGAUGGUUUCCGUAGAUGGUGGCUUUCUUUGGACCCUUGACAUCAACCAGUUACUAUUUGCAGGGCCACACAUAACAAAUAGAAGCAGAGCAAGCCCUGGAACUCCUGCCUGACAGUGACACGACGACAGAAACAUCUUACCAGUCAGAGGACCAUGAGAAAUAGAUUCAAGGAGCAUUCCACGUGCAAGUGAGUCUUGGCCCCAUCUGCCUUUGGAUUUUAGCCGUGAACUGGAAGGUAUUGGAAAGAAGACCCUCAGAAAUAGCUUAAUCAAAAUCCCUGCGUCUGAACCAAGUGCCUUAUUUCUCUGUGGGCCUCAAGCUUCGCUGACAUCUGUGGAGCACACUGUCCUAACAGGAGUGCUGUCUGAUUUCCCAACGCUCUGCAAAACAAACAGCCUGGAAGGGUGGCUGGUGGAAGGUGGUUUUUAGAGAGAGACUUGUAGAUAACAGGAAAGUGAAGGCUGUAAGGAAGGUUGUAAUUAAACAGCACAUGGAAACACAAUCACAUUAUUGUCCCAUUCCAUAGGGAUAAUGAUGACCACUUCAGUGGGAAAAGGAGAGGUUUUAAGUCAUUAGGGACUAUGGGCCACCUUUUAGGAAGAUUUAUUUUCAAAGGUUAAAAUAGUGUUUUGGCAAUUCAAGUUUCAUUUUCAGAAAAUGUAAUUGAUGGGAACCUCAGUGACUCUGGAUGAAUAAGAUGCUGUUGAGUGGCUCUGACUUGGGCCAGCCGUGCUUCUCACAGGACCUUGGAGACCAAGGUCACUGUGAUCUCAGGUUCAGGGGGCAAGUCCUCUCCACACAGCCCUAGUUGGCCUCACAGCUGAAAAUGUCUCCCUUACUGUUGGACUCCUUUGUUCACCCACAUGAGUUUGUGAAUAAAUCCUUUCCAGUCU
Homo sapiens (human) is the source of this 1299-nucleotide long non-coding RNA. Ensembl annotates it as PCBP1 antisense RNA 1. Its record names the gene PCBP1-AS1. Lineage: Eukaryota; Metazoa; Chordata; Mammalia; Primates; Hominidae. The record is from Ensembl.